RNAcentral lists this microRNA precursor (103 nucleotides) under Marmota monax (woodchuck). Lineage: Eukaryota; Metazoa; Chordata; Mammalia; Rodentia; Sciuridae. The record is from RNAcentral.
ACUAGUACCCCAAGUCAUCUGGUGCUUUUAUAUCCCCUUUAACACAGGAUUAUACCCCAGUUUCCCUCCCCACAUUCUACAGUUUGAACUUCUAAUUUGAUGG